RNAcentral lists this ribosomal RNA (875 nucleotides) under Feramyces austinii. RNAcentral describes it as "eukaryotic LSU rRNA". The stretch from base 90 to 875 matches the Rfam family "Eukaryotic large subunit ribosomal RNA", at positions 1 to 636 of the family's 3401-position model. Lineage: Eukaryota; Fungi; Neocallimastigomycota; Neocallimastigomycetes; Neocallimastigales; Neocallimastigaceae. The record is from RNAcentral.
GUAAAAAGGAAUAAAGCUAUUUCAGUUUUUUAGAAAUUUUAAUAGUUUCCAUACCGGUACAGUUAAAGGAAAUUUAUUUAUAAAUAACUUGAUCUCAAAUCAGAUAAGAGUACCCGCUGAACUUAAGCAUAUCAAUAAGCGGAGGAAAAGAAACUAACAAGGAUUCCCUUAGUAACGGCGAGUGAAGCGGGAAGAGCUCAAAUUUGAAAUCUUCAAGGUUCUACCUUGACGAAUUGUAGUUUAAAGAAGUGUUUUCUGUUAGAGGAGUGGCAAAAGUUCUUUGGAAUAGGACAUCAUAGAGGGUGAGAAUCCCGUAUUUGGUCAUUCUUUCUAGCUGUGUGAUACACUUUCAAAGAGUCGGAUUGUUUGGGAAUGCAGCCCAAAAUGGGUGGUAAAUUUCAUCUAAAGCUAAAUAUUGGCGAGAGACCGAUAGCGAACAAGUACCGUGAGGGAAAGAUGAAAAGAACUUUGAAAAGAGAGUUAAACAGUACGUGAAAUUGUCAAAAGGGAAGCGUUUGACACCAGUGUUGUUUUUCCGAAAAUCAAUUGUGCCUGGCUGGAUUUUGUAGGAGUUUGACCUUAUCAGCUUCUUCUGCUUUUUUCCGGUCUGGUGCAAUGCACUUUUCGGUUAACAAGUCAACAUCAAUUUCUUUUGUUGUAAAAGGGUAAUUGGAAGGUGGCUUUCUUUUCGGAGAAAGUGUUUAUAGCCUUUUACCUCUACAAUCGGAGAGAUUGAGGUCUGCAGCGUAGAUCCUUCGGGGUUAGAUACAUUUGUGCUAAGUUAUAACCCUGUAUAGACAACUUGUUGACUAUACUCGGUCAUGUAGCUUACUCGCUUAUGCUAUUUUACCUACGCUUAGGAUGUUGACAAAAUG